GAUGAACGCUGGCGGCGUGCUUAAUACAUGCAAGUCGAACGGAAAGGCCCUGAUUUUGUGGGGUGCUCGUUUGGCGCACGGGUGAGUAACACGUGAGUAACCUGUCCUUGACUUUGUGGUAACUUUAGGAAACUGGGGCUCAUAUCGCAUAGGAUCUCUUGCUGCACGGUGGGGGAUGGAAAGUUUCGGCGGUUGGGGCAGGUCUCGAGGGUUAUCAGCUUGUUGGUGUGGUUGGUGCUUACAAAGGCUUCGAAGGGUAGCCGGCCUGAGCGGGUGACCAGCGACAAUGGGACUGCGGGACGGCGCAGUCGCCAACGGGACGCAACAGUGGGAAAUAUGCCGCAGUGGGGGGAAGCCAGAUGCAGAGACGCCGCGUGCGGAAUGACGUCCUUCGGGGGGAAAACCACUGUCUCCUGUAACAAGGCCGGAGUGACGGUAAUGAAUAAGAAAGCCCCGGCUAACUACGUG
This 468-nucleotide ribosomal RNA is filed under the name uncultured bacterium. Its description in RNAcentral is "partial 16S ribosomal RNA". It matches the Rfam family "Bacterial small subunit ribosomal RNA", at positions 28 to 507 of the family's 1533-position model. The record is from RNAcentral.